GAUGAACGCUGGCGGCGUGCCUAAUACAUGCAAGUCGAGCGAACGGACGAGAAGCUUGCUUCUCUGAUGUUAGCGGCGGACGGGUGAGUAACACGUGGAUAACCUACCUAUAAGACUGGGAUAACUUCGGGAAACCGUAGCUAAUACCGGAUGAUAUUUUGAACCGCAUGGUUCAAAAGUGAAAGACGGUCUUGCUGUCACUUAUAGAUGGAUCCGCGCUGCAUUAGCUAGUUGGUAAGGUAACGGCUUACCAAGGCAACGAUGCAUAGCCGACCUGAGAGGGGGAAUCGCCCACCCGGAAAUGGGACCAGGUUCCAACCCCUAAGGGAGGGAGGCAUAGGGGAAUCUUCCGCAUGGGCGAAAGCCCGACGGAGCAAAGCCGCGUGAGUGAUGGAGGUCUUCCGGUCGGAAAACCCCGUUAAUUGGGAAAAACAAAUUUUGAAAUAACCGUGCACCACUUGACGGUAACUAAACAAGAAAGCACGGCUAAAUUACGG
Molecule: ribosomal RNA, 497 nt
Filed under: uncultured bacterium
Lineage: Bacteria
Description: partial 16S ribosomal RNA
Rfam family: Bacterial small subunit ribosomal RNA
Source: RNAcentral